GGAGAAGCCAAGCGGCGGCAUACUGUGGGGAGCCAGCGGCGGUUGCAAAACAGCCAAUGUUCAUGAAGGUUGCCUCAUAUGGGACAUAGAUCAGAGCAUUUGAAUAACUACAGUGGAACAUCAGAGUUACAAACACCAGAGUUAUGAACUGACCAAUCAACCACACACAUCAUUUGGAACCGAAGUACAGGCAGCAGCAGAGACC
Dermochelys coriacea (leatherback sea turtle) is the source of this 205-nucleotide long non-coding RNA. RefSeq lists it as uncharacterized. The transcript is spliced from 2 exons. The record is from RefSeq and is a predicted model, not a curated record. NCBI's taxonomy places the organism in Eukaryota, Metazoa, Chordata, Testudines, Dermochelyidae.